This 253-nucleotide ribosomal RNA is filed under the name uncultured bacterium. RNAcentral's name for it is "partial 16S ribosomal RNA". It matches the Rfam family "Bacterial small subunit ribosomal RNA", at positions 524 to 776 of the family's 1533-position model. The record is from RNAcentral.
UACGUAGGGUGCAAGCGUUAAUCGGAAUUACUGGGCGUAAAGCGUGCGCAGGCGGUUUUGUAAGACCGAUGUGAAAUCCCCGGGCUCAACCUGGGAACUGCAUUUGUGACUGCAUAGCUAGAGUACGGUAGAGGGGGAUGGAAUUCCGCGUGUAGCAGUGAAAUGCGUAGAUAUGCGGAGGAACACCGAUGGCGAAGGCAAUCCCCUGGACCUGUACUGACGCUCAUGUACGAAAGCGUGGGGAGCAAACAGG